UUGAAUUAUUUUAAUGAAUGCAAUGUACCACGUUAAUACCUAAUCCUUCGCCAAAUAACCCACAAGGGAGAGCCAGUCAAUUAAUCUUAUCAAGUUGUGAACUUUGUAAGAUUUCCCUGGCAAUUGCCUAUGUUGAGGUCUGAUCAAACACAACCCAAUGAAGCACCCAUCUUUUCCAGCAUCCCGCUCCAAAAACCGCACCCACCAUGCACGCAGUUGAUUGCACUAAUUGGCAAAGAGCGUGACGAUCGCUGGCGAUGGACAUCAGCGACUGGACAACGCUGAUGGGGAGUUCAUGGGGAGCUGGAUGAGACAAUGAGACAAGAUUUUCAUUCAUAAAACACUCGCUGAGUGGACCGGAAGUUCUUAUUUGAUUGCAAAUUGUGAUAGGUUCCAAGAAAGGGUAAACUGGAGCAUUUCAAAAUCCUAUUCAUAAUUAAAACUUAAAAACAAAAUUUGUUGAGAGAUUUGCUCCUAUUUAAAUAAUACAAAAAAUGUUUAUUUUUUUGAACUGCAAAAUAGUUUAAAACAUAAGAAAAAAUAGUUGUUUCAAUUUUAGAUUGUUAAUGUAUUAACACAAUAAACAUUAUUAUGAUUUAUUUGAACCUA
This is a long non-coding RNA of Drosophila elegans, 609 nucleotides long. RefSeq lists it as uncharacterized. The transcript has 3 exons. NCBI's taxonomy places the organism in Eukaryota, Metazoa, Arthropoda, Insecta, Diptera, Drosophilidae. The record is from RefSeq and is a predicted model, not a curated record.